CCCACCGAGGCGCGAACACCGCUACCACACCUUCCCCCAUCCCAGGUGGUGGUCACAGGAUGAAGAUUUUGAGGUAGGGAAGAGUCCUGCAAUCAUCCCAGGCCAGUAUUGAGAGAUUCACCAACAGAAGCAGAGGCAGAAGAGCCAGGAGAGAGGAGGGAAGAAAGAACACCAGAGAAGCCCAGA
Talpa occidentalis (Iberian mole) is the source of this 186-nucleotide long non-coding RNA. RefSeq lists it as uncharacterized. NCBI's taxonomy places the organism in Eukaryota, Metazoa, Chordata, Mammalia, Eulipotyphla, Talpidae. The transcript is spliced from 3 exons. The record is from RefSeq and is a predicted model, not a curated record.